UAAAGCGAAUAAGGGCGCAUGGUGGAUGCCUAGGAUCUAAGAGGCGAAGAAGGACGUGGUAAGCUGCGAUAAGCUACGGGGAGAUGCAAACGAUCGUUACAUCCGUAGAUUUCCGAAUGGGACAACCCGGCACGCUGAAGGCGUGUCACUCUGAAAAGAGAGCCAACGCAGGGAACUGAAACAUCUAAGUACCUGCAGGAAAAGAAAAUAAAUAAUGAUUCCCUAAGUAGUGGCGAGCGAACGGGGAAGAGCCCAAACCGGAUCGAAGCAAUUCUAUCCGGGGUUGUAGGACUACUUUUAGAAAGUCAGAUCAAGUUGAAUCAUCUGGAAAGAUGAGCCGCAGCAGGUGAUAGCCCUGUAGACAGAAAUUCUGAUGGACGUGUAGUAUCCUGAGUAGCGCGGGACCGGAGGAAUCCUGUGUGAAACUGCCAGCACCAUCUGGUAAGGCUAAAUACUCCUUAGAUACCGAUAGUGAACCAGUACCGUAAGGGAAAGGUGAAAAGUACUCCGAACAGGAGAGUGAAAUAGUUCCUGAAACCGUGCGCUUACAAGCGGUCGGAGCCCGCAAGGGUGACGGCGUGCCUUUUGCAUAAUGAGCCUACGAGUUACUCCUCACUGGCAAGGUUAAGGUCUUCAGUACCGGAGCCG
Molecule: ribosomal RNA, 648 nt
Filed under: Chitinophaga polysaccharea
Lineage: Bacteria; Pseudomonadati; Bacteroidota; Chitinophagia; Chitinophagales; Chitinophagaceae
Description: partial 23S ribosomal RNA
Rfam family: Bacterial large subunit ribosomal RNA
Source: RNAcentral